Pelobates cultripes (western spadefoot toad) is the source of this 775-nucleotide non-coding RNA. NCBI's taxonomy places the organism in Eukaryota, Metazoa, Chordata, Amphibia, Anura, Pelobatidae. The record is from the annotation of a GenBank genome assembly.
GAAAUUGUUGGGAAUAAUACACUUUGCCUAUACUGACCCAAGGCUCAAGCUCCAGAUGACAGGAUGUUCAGUCUGUUUAACAUUGGUUAACAUGUCAGCUAUUUGAAAGAAUAUACUCUAUCUGUAUCCAAUGCUUAGUGAAUAUACCCCUAGACAAUAAAGAGCUGGAGAACAUCAUGUAACAGGUGUUACAUCCUGUGUGUUUCUCUCUGUUGGCCUUAUUUCCUGUGUUUCUCUCUUUGAUCAUAACUGCAUAGUAAUGUUUAAUUUAGAACUUAGUAGUAAAUAUCUUUAAUACGUAGUGCGCAUGCAUAUUAGUUUGACAUGUGUAGUUAUAGUGAAACUUAGCUUUGAGCAAGGUCCGAACAUGAAGAUACACCUGGAAGCCUGCUAUAGGUUAAGAUAAGAUAGAUUUUGUUAGGAUUGGAUAAUGCUUGUAACGACCACCCCUGUUUCCUGCUGUAUAUAACCAGUUACACGGCUUAUUAAACGCUCAGAAGUCGCUUUGAACCUGGCAUUGUCUUGUCUCACUUAUUAGGGCUCCUCACCAGCUGGUUUGGGGACAAGGAGAAAUACAGAGAGUUCCAAAUUGCUUAGAAGUCCAUGGCAUGACAAAGGAAAAUUCCUGACGCAGGAAAUCUUGACUUACAAACGCCAAGGAGGACUUUUGACUGAACUACAUAGAAUGUGACGGCAGAUAAGAACCAUUCGGCCCAUCUAGUCUGCCCAAUUUUCUAAAUACUUUCAUUAGUCUCUAGCCUUAUCUUAUAGUUAG